GCCGUCGCCUCACCACGCUUGCGCGCCGCCUGCCCAAGGCCUCCGACACUGCGGAGCGGGGCUCAGGGUCACCUGCACGAUCUCCGCCAGUCCCCACAACGACCCUGCCACGAGACUGCCACCACAGUAACAGGAAGCCCACCGUGGACAAGACAAACCAUCCCCCUUAGACAUAGGCCAGUUUGCAUGGCGAUCGAGUACGCACUCCGGAGCCAGACCGCCUGGGUUACCGUCCUGGCCUUGCCCGUUGCCGGUGGCAUAAGCCUGUGCAAGUUCCUAACCUCGCUGAGGAGCAUUUCACUCAUCUGUAAAUGGGGGGUAAUGAUGCCGGCCACCGCAUAGGAUUAUACAAGCGACGCUGGUGACGUGCUGCAGAACCGUGACCAGGCUGCUGUGAGUGCAUGCCGUUCUCUCUAGCAGCUCCGCGAGGUAGCCAUUCCUGCUCAAGAGGGAACUUAAGCCCAAAGAAGUUCAAUGAUUCAUGCAAGAAGAAGUUAACUGGGCAACAGUCACAGCAGGCACCCUAAUUUCAAACUGAAUGAAACCUCUGGUAUUUCUCCUGAUGCCUAAAGUUUUGAGAUGUGACAAUGUUUGUAUUCCAGUAUCCUACAGUUCCAGGAAGUUCAGCUCAUGAGAAUGUUGUAUAAUUGUGUUCAUCUGACCAAAGAACAGAAAUGAGACUCAGAAACCACCAAAGAGCUAGACGGCACAACCCGGAAGUAAUGGGCAUUUGGACGUCUAGGGAUGACCACCGAGAUGCAAGAGACAAGAUGGAGUUGGGAAGUGGGUCUGAGCAGGGAUGUCCAAACACUUAAGAUCCAGAUGGUGAAAUUCCAUCCAGAUAUGAGGAGACAGUCACUAAAGGCCUGGAGACAAAUAGCAGCUACUGGCCAAUGGAAAAGGUCUCUACUCCAUGACCUUGAGCACUGGGAAAGCAGGAAGGUUUUGCUGAUGUUGCAGGCUGUCUAUUAUCAUGGUGUUUCUCAAUUUUUUUUUUUGCCUACAUUUUUUGGUAAGAAAUAUAUAUGUAUAUAAUAUAUAACUAUAUAUAUAAUGGAAACAGAAAUUUCCUAAAUCAAUAUUUUCCCCUCCCCUUUGAAAUAUGCUUAUUUUCUCUCAUUUUCUAUUCUGCUCUAUUCUAUUUCAUUUCUAAAAUGUUGCUCAGAUGGAAAACAAAUCUGUGGUUUCCAGGGGUUAUGAACAGUAUGUCUGGCAGGAGGAGACAGUGACUAUAAAAAGGUAAUUUUGCCUUUCGUGGUGAGGGAGAGUUUUGUAUCUUGAUUAUGGUGGCAGUGAUCAUACACAUAUAUAUGUAUGACAGAAUUGCACACACACAUAAAGGUGUGCUCGUAAUAAUGGGAAAUCUGAGUAAGGCCACUAGUCUGUAGUAGGUAAAUGUACUGGGCCAGUGUCAGUUUCCUGGUUUUGAUAAGGUGCUAUAGUCAGCUAAGAUGUGUCUAUUGGGUGAAGCUGGGCGAUGGGUACACGGGACCCCUCUCAACUACUUUUGCAACUUCUUGCGCAUGUCUAUUUCAAAACAAAAAUGUUUUGAAUAUUACUCAAGACCCAUUAAAUUACUCAAGGUCACAAUCCGUAGUUUAAAAAUGAAACCCUGUUCACCAAGAGUGGAUGUUGGAUCAGCAGCAACUGUGCCUACAUAAACUGAUUUGUCUGAAGAGAUACAUCGGCCUGUGCAGACCUGUAUUUGAACUGGCUGGGACUCCACAACCUUAAGUCUCACUAGCCCCCGCCUCAACCCCUGCCAGUGGACUGGGAAGCUAGGGGUUGCACAGAGUAGACAGACGUUUAUUUCAUUUUCUUUGUGUGUCAUCCUCUAAAUGUCCCUACCCUAUCCCUCCCCCAUUUUUUUUUUUUAGACACUUGAUCCUGGGGCACCUGGGUGGCUCAGUCGGU
This is a long non-coding RNA of Leopardus geoffroyi (Geoffroy's cat), 1914 nucleotides long. RefSeq lists it as uncharacterized. The transcript has 6 exons. NCBI's taxonomy places the organism in Eukaryota, Metazoa, Chordata, Mammalia, Carnivora, Felidae. The record is from RefSeq and is a predicted model, not a curated record.